Molecule: ribosomal RNA, 446 nt
Filed under: uncultured bacterium
Lineage: Bacteria
Description: bacterial SSU rRNA
Rfam family: Bacterial small subunit ribosomal RNA
Source: RNAcentral
UGCCAGACUCCUACGGGAGGCAGCAGUGGGGAAUAUUGCACAAUGGGGGAAACCCUGAUGCAGCGACGCCGCGUGAAGAAUGAAGUAUUUCGGUAUGUAAACUUCUAUCAGCAGGGAAGAAAAUGACGGUACCUGACUAAGAAGCCCCGGCUAACUACGUGCCAGCAGCCGCGGUAAUACGUAGGGGGCAAGCGUUAUCCGGAUUUACUGGGUGUAAAGGGGGCGCAGACGGCGAUGCAAGCCAGGAGUGAAAGCCCGGGGCCCAACCCCGGGACUGCUCUUGGAACUGCGUGGCUGGAGUGCAGGAGGGGCAGGCGGAAUUCCUGGUGUAGCGGUGAAAUGCGUAGAUAUCAGGAGGAACACCGGUGGCGAAGGCGGCCUGCUGGACCGUGACUGACGUUGAGGCUCGAGAGCGUGGGGAGCAAACAGGAUUAGAUACCCGUGUA